RNAcentral lists this unclassified non-coding RNA (379 nucleotides) under soil metagenome. Its description in RNAcentral is "partial contains 5.8S ribosomal RNA, internal transcribed spacer 2, and large subunit ribosomal RNA". The stretch from base 1 to 120 matches the Rfam family "5.8S ribosomal RNA", at positions 35 to 154 of the family's 154-position model. The record is from RNAcentral.
GAUGAAGAACGUAGCGAAAUGCGAUAAGUAAUGUGAAUUGCAGAAUUCAGUGAAUCAUCGAAUCUUUGAACGCACCUUGCACCCUUUGGCAUUCCGAAGGGUAUGCUCGUUUGAGUGUCAUUGUACUCUCACACUUCCAAUCUUUGGAUUGGGAGCAGUGGACUUGGGUGUUGCUGCUUACUGUGGCUCACCUCAAAUCGAUUCGUGCACCUCUUGGUUGGACAUAGUACGGCGUGAUAAGUGUCUUCGCCGGCACCUCAGUAGAGGGUGGCUGAUCAGGAGCUCUGUGCUUCAAACCGUCCUCGGACAACAACUGACAACUUGACCUCAGAUCGAGUAGGACUACCCGCUGAACUUAAGCAUAUCAAUAAGCGGAGGA